Non-coding RNA from Myodes glareolus (Bank vole), 291 nucleotides. The record is from RefSeq and is a predicted model, not a curated record. NCBI's taxonomy places the organism in Eukaryota, Metazoa, Chordata, Mammalia, Rodentia, Cricetidae.
GCCAGCCACCAGGUCAGACAUGCUGAAUCUUUUCUGGUGGAUCCAUGCAUGAAGGAGACGGUGCCAAGGAGGCGUGGCCUAACCAGUGAGGAUAGCAGAUUCACCAUCAGGAGGACAACAGGGAGCAGAAACACUCAUGGUGGCAUUUACCGCCACAGGCAUCAAGCAGGCCUGAGGUCUGAGACAGUGGACUGCACCCAGCCCUCCACCGCUAGCCUGCACCUGCUCGACAAACCAGUGAGAGACAAUAACCUGUGGAGGAAACCGGAAGUACUACUGUGGCUGGGGGAA